UGUGCUCAACCUCUUCACCAGGAUCCGGUA
RNAcentral lists this non-coding RNA (30 nucleotides) under Homo sapiens (human). Lineage: Eukaryota; Metazoa; Chordata; Mammalia; Primates; Hominidae. The record is from RNAcentral.